RNAcentral lists this long non-coding RNA (2980 nucleotides) under Mus musculus (house mouse). RNAcentral's name for it is "predicted gene 9776 (ENSMUSG00000042857.6)". Lineage: Eukaryota; Metazoa; Chordata; Mammalia; Rodentia; Muridae. The record is from RNAcentral.
UGGGGUUUUGCACCGGGUCAGCCGGAGAGUCGUGGGCACGUAAAGAACUGGAUAUGAGGCCCUUGGAUGCGUUUUGGUGGAGGAGAUCUCAGAUCCUCCAGGGUUCGUUGCUUCUCUUCUGCUGUCCACUGAUCGCUCCCCGAUGGCUCCUGAAACGCGGUGCACAGGUCGGAAGAACUUGGCUUCAGCGGCCACAAGCUCUCAGCCCUCGAGGCUGGCUUCCGCCCCUCUCACAGCCAGAGUGGCCUGACGUUCUAGACGUGAAAGCUCCUCCUUCGGAGGAGGCUUUCAGGAUCUGCGCGGAGGCGAUCAUCCGCCUGCAAGCUUUGCCUAAGUUUUUCCUGGGGCCCGAGGUUCUUACUUGAAGUUCGAGGCUUGCGUCCUGCCCGCAGUCAGCUGCCGCGAGCUAAGCCUGGGCCAGAAGCUGGAGUGCGCUCUCCUCCGAGCGCCGCCUGCUUCCACUCUUGGGCAAGUGGCUUUCCAACAACACCUAAGCAGCAAGAUGGGAUGGUUUCUGGCUGCAGAACUGCAACCCUUCUGUCCCGGGCAGCUUUCCAAGAGGACCCUCACCAGCCUCCCUGGUGACUACCGUUCCUUCGUUCCUCUUUCCCUACACAUGCGGUCCAGAAAGGACUGAAUACCUGCAGCCCUGCAGCAAAUCACCAAAACCCAAGGGUAGCACCAGGCAAACACCAAGGUCCCACCAAGAUUUCUCGACUUGACUGAAAGAUUGCGUUGUCUCUCGGAAAACACGCUCCUCCUUAGUGCUAGGAGAGAGAGGAGCAAUCAGCCUCCAAACUGACCAAACGUUGGCGGUUAAUUAGCUUUUCAAUACACCUAUCCAGACAGUGUUCGAGCAUCGCAAAUAUGUUUCUUCCCAGUGUUGAUGAUAUUGAUAGAUUUGUAGAAUCUCUCCUACGACUGACUGAUCGAUGGUGAUGAUACAUAACAAGGUGUUAUAUGAUGCUUAGCUUAUACCCCAGACACUAUACUAAGUGGUGUGCAUGGAUAAAUUCAUUUACUACGGGAAGACACUAGGCUUUGCUUAUUUUGUCAAGUAAUGACAAUGUGAACACAUCCUCAGUACAAAAUAUACCUGAGUAUAUAAUUGUUUUUAUUUUGGAAUGUAAACGCUUUUACUAGAUAUUCUAAAUUGCUCUCCUACCAUUUACGUAUGAGAGGGAUUUCCUCACAUUCUCAUAAUUUUGUCAUAAUGUGAUAUAGAUUUUUGUGUUCUAAUUAAUUUUUAUAUUCAUGUUGAUAAUGAAUAUGAUUAUCUUUCAUGUGAGUUUUUUUUUCACAUGGACAUGUUAAUCCAAUUUAUCUUGAAUAGUUCAUUUUCUUUUUAUUAUUAUUUUAUUAGGUAUUUUCUUUUUUUUAAGAUUUAUUUAUUUAUUAUAUGUAAGUACACUGUAGCUGUCUUCAGACACUCCAAAAGAGGGCAUCAGAUUUCGUUACGGAUGGUUGUGAGCCACCACAUGGUUGCUGGGAUUUGAACUUGGGACCUUUGGAAGAGCAGUCAGCACUCUUAACCACUGAGCCAUCUCACCAGCCCAGAUAUUUUCUUUAUUUACAUUUCAAAUGCUAUCCCGAAAGUUCCCUAUACCCCCCCAGAGGCCCCCCCCCCCCGUCCUGCUCCCCUACCCACCCACAAUAGUUCAUUUUCUUAUGGAAAGGGUUUAUUUUGUUUUUAGAGACAGGGUCUCACUCUGUAGUCCUGCCUGGCUUCGAACUUGCAAUCCUCCUGCCUUAACUUUCCAAUGUUGUGACUAUAGCCACGCACCAGCACACCCCACUUGAAAAGGGCCCAUUCUCAAGUUUCAUUCUUUAAACAAGCUGCUUUAUUUUCAUUGGUUGUUUUGUUUUCAUACAGACUCAUGUAAACAGUUGACCUAUACUUUGGAAAGUUGUUGGGGAAGUCUUGGUUUAUUUUGUUUACCUUGUCCUUCGAUGGUGUGGGGUAUCAAGGCUGUAUGAUUCUCAAGAAACAUUACUGAGUACUUAUUUUCUUCCUCCUUCCUCGAAUAUUUUAUAUAAGAUAUAAAGCCUGUGUUCCUUAGAAAAACAUAAAAUUUUCUCUCUGUGUGUCUUAGUUUCUAUGGCUUCGAUGGAACACCAUGACCAAAGCAAGGUGGGAAGGAAAGGGCUGAUUUAUUUGACUUAUGCUUCCAUAUCACUGUCCAUCAUUGAAGGAAGUCAGGACAAGAACUCACACAGGAAGCUGGAGGCAGGAGCUGAUACAGAGGCCAUGGAGGAGUGCUGCUUACUGGCUUGCUCCCCAUUGCUUGCUCUGCCUGCUUUCUUAUGGAACGUAAGACCACCAGCCAGGCAUGGCACCACCCACAAAAAAUUAGGCCUACAUCAAUCACUACUUAAGAAAAUGCCCCAUACAGCAGCUGUUCUCAACCUGUGGGUCACAAGUCCUGCAGGUGUUGCUUAUCAGAUAUUUACAAAUAUGAUUCAUAACAGUAGCAAAUUUCAGUUAUGAAGUAGUAACAAAAUGAUUUGAUGAUCGCGGUGUACUGGCUGGUUUUGUGUGUCAACUUGACACAGCUGGGGUUAUCCCAGAGAAGGGAGCUUCAGUUGAGGAAAUGCCUCCAUGAGAUCCAGCUGUAAGGCAUUUUCUCAGUUAGUGAUCAAGGGGGAAAGGCCCCUUGUGGGUGGGACCAUCUGGGGGCUGGUAGUCUUGGUUCUUUAAGAGAGCAGGCUGAGCAAGCCAGGGGAAACAAGCCAGUAAAGAACAUCCCUCCAUGGCCUCUGCAUCCACUCCUGCUUCCUGACCUGCUUAAGUUCUGGUCAUGACUUACUUUGGUGAUGAACAGCAACAUGAAGUGUUGGCUGAAUAAACCCUUUCCUCCCCAUCUUGUUCUUGGUCAUGAUCUUUGUGCAGGAAUAGAAACCCUGACUAAGACAGCAUGCAAACUUUAUUUUGCAUAAGUUAUAAACUUGAAAAAGCAGAAAUCUGAAUAAACUAACUAUU